UUAAGAUCUUUAUAGUUUCAAGGAUUGACUAGAUUAUUUAAUUUUACAGAUUGCCUAUUAUAUAAAAGUUUGCUUUGUAUUGUUUUUAUUCAUUCAACCCUUUUAAUAAAAAUCUACUUUUUAAAUUUGUUGAAUCCUUUGUUCUUUGGAACAUCGUAAUGCUACGAGAGUGAUCUCCGUAAGCACGGUCUUGUUCACUAGUGGGGCUGCCUCUCACGGACUAAGACCAACCCAGCAAGUAUCUGGCCUUCCGCAGCCUUAUACUGAAGAACCAUCGAUCCACCUUUCCUUUAAUCCAUCUUUGGGUCAAAGUUUAUCCUUUUCACCAACCUUCGAGUGCAUUCCUUGGGAGAUUUUCUAUUAUUUGGUAUCAGAGCACAAGAGAAAACAAGAGAUCAUUCCAUCUGAAGUUAAAUCGAGACUGCUCCUCCAUCUCUCGUAAUGGCUCUAGGAGAUUGCUUCUCCGAAAGCAACCUGUUUUGAUCACUAGUGGGGCUGCCUCUCACGGUCACAGGUUCUAAACAUUAUGUCGGAUUUGAGGGCAAAUCCUUUUGAAGGAGGAGGGGAUGAUGUGACCUUGUUCAGGAACAAGCAAAUCAAGAGAUGUCCAAAAAAAAGAAAGGCUCACCAAGAAAAUACAAGCCAAUGUCGUAUAAUAUAUCAAUCUGACGGCAAUUCAGAGACCGUCGAUCAUGCAAAAGGAUGCGACCAGCCAAGGAAUUCUGCGAACACAAUUUCCAAAAUUCAGUCAACAGUCUUGGUCUUUGGUCAAGUCAAUAUUCCUAGUCAAGUCUUCAUAGUUUUAAGAUCUUUAUAGUUUCAAGGAUUGACUAGAUUAUUUAAUUUUACAGAUUGCCUAUUAUAUAAAAGUUUGCUUUGUAUUGUUUUUAUUCAUUCAACCCUUUUAAUAAAAAUCUACUUUUAAAUUUGUUGAAUCCUUUGUUCUUUGGAACAUCGUAAUGCUACGAGAGUGAUCUCCGUAAGCACGGUCUUGUUCACUAGUGGGGCUGCCUCUCACGGACUAAGACCAACCCAGCAAGUAUCUGGCCUUCCGCAGCCUUAUACUGAAGAACCAUCGAUCCACCUUUCCUUUAAUCCAUCUUUGGGUCAAAGUUUAUCCUUUUCACCAACCUUCGAGUGCAUUCCUUGGGAGAUUUUCUAUUAUUUGGUAUCAGAGCACACUUGAGGGUUCGGUGUUCACUUCUGUCAUUCAUCAUUCUCAUCUUUCCAUCUUCUACAAAAAAAAAAAAAAAAAAAUCCACGAGAAAACAAGAGAUCAUUCCAUCUGAAGUUAAAUCGAGACUGCUCCUCCAUCUCUCGUAAUGGCUCUAGGAGAUUGCUUCUCCGAAAGCAACCUGUUUUGAUCACUAGUGGGGCUGCCUCUCACGGUCACAGGUUCUAAACAUUAUGUCGGAUUUGAGGGCAAAUCCUUUUGAAGGAGGAGGGGAUGAUGUGACCUUGUUCAGGAACAAGCAAAUCAAGAGAUGUCCAAAAAAAAGAAAGGCUCACCAAGAAAAUACAAGCCAAUGUCGUAUAAUAUAUCAAUCUGACGGCAAUUCAGAGACCGUCGAUCAUGCAAAAGGAUGCGACCAGCCAAGGAAUUCUGCGAACACAAUUUCCAAAAUUCAGUCAACAGUCUUGGUCUUUGGUCAAGUCAAUAUUCCUAGUCAAGUCUUCAUAGUUUUAAGAUCUUUAUAGUUUCAAGGAUUGACUAGAUUAUUUAAUUUUACAGAUUGCCUAUUAUAUAAAAGUUUGCUUUGUAUUGUUUUUAUUCAUUCAACCCUUUUAAUAAAAAUCUACUUUUUAAAUUUGUUGAAUCCUUUGUUCUUUGGAACAUCGUAAUGCUACGAGAGUGAUCUCCGUAAGCACGGUCUUGUUCACUAGUGGGGCUGCCUCUCACGGACUAAGACCAACCCAGCAAGUAUCUGGCCUUCCGCAGCCUUAUACUGAAGAACCAUCGAUCCACCUUUCCUUUAAUCCAUCUUUGGGUCAAAGUUUAUCCUUUUCACCAACCUUCG
Molecule: long non-coding RNA, 2018 nt
Filed under: Brassica rapa (field mustard)
Lineage: Eukaryota; Viridiplantae; Streptophyta; Magnoliopsida; Brassicales; Brassicaceae
Description: long non-coding RNA (BRAP_LNC008094)
Source: RNAcentral